This 537-nucleotide ribosomal RNA is filed under the name uncultured fungus. RNAcentral describes it as "eukaryotic LSU rRNA". The stretch from base 191 to 344 matches the Rfam family "5.8S ribosomal RNA". The record is from RNAcentral. Lineage: Eukaryota; Fungi.
GAUUAAGGUCUCCGUAGGUGAACCAGCGGAGGGAUCAUUACCGAGUUUACAACUCCCAAACCCCUGUGAACAUACCUUUAUGUUGCCUCGGCGGAUCAGCCCGCGCCCCGUAAAACGGGACGGCCCGCCGCAGGAACCACAAAACUCUGAUUUUAGUGUAACUUCUGAGUCUAAAAAACAAAUAAAUCAAAACUUUCAACAACGGAUCUCUUGGUUCUGGCAUCGAUGAAGAACGCAGCAAAAUGCGAUAAGUAAUGUGAAUUGCAGAAUUCAGUGAAUCAUCGAAUCUUUGAACGCACAUUGCGCCCGCCAGUAUUCUGGCGGGCAUGCCUGUUCGAGCGUCAUUUCAACCCUCAAGCCCCCGGGUUUGGUGUUGGGGAUCGGGCUGUACUCCAGCCCGGCCCCGAAAUCUAGUGGCGGUCUCGCUGCAGCCUCCAUUGCGUAGUAGCUAACACCUCGCAACUGGAACGCGGCGCGGCCAAGCCGUUAAACCCCCAACUUCUGAAUGUUGACCUCGGAUCAGGUAGGGAUACAAUC